AUUGAACGCUGGCGGCAUGCUUUACACAUGCAAGUCGAACGGUAACAGGCCGCAAGGUGCUGACGAGUGGCGAACGGGUGAGUAAUGCAUCGGAACGUGCCCAGUCGUGGGGGAUAACGCAGCGAAAGCUGUGCUAAUACCGCAUACGAUCUAUGGAUGAAAGCGGGGGACCGAAAGGCCUCGCGCGAUUGGAGCGGCCGAUGUCAGAUUAGGUAGUUGGUGGGGUAAAGGCCUACCAAGCCAACGAUCUGUAGCUGGUCUGAGAGGACGACCAGCCACACGGGAACUGAGACCGGGCCCAACUCCUAAGGGGGGGCAGGGGUGGGAAUUUUUGGAAAUGGGGCGCAGGCCUAUCCAAGAAAUGCCGCGGGAAGGAAAAGGCCCUUCGGUUUGUAAACUGUUUUUGUAGGGAAGAAAAGGGUCUGGUUUAAACCCCUGGACAAAGACCGUACCCGAAAAAAAAGCCCCGGCUAAACUCGUG
This 481-nucleotide ribosomal RNA is filed under the name uncultured bacterium. RNAcentral describes it as "partial 16S ribosomal RNA". It matches the Rfam family "Bacterial small subunit ribosomal RNA", at positions 29 to 507 of the family's 1533-position model. The record is from RNAcentral.